RNAcentral lists this long non-coding RNA (1711 nucleotides) under Anser brachyrhynchus (Pink-footed goose). Its description in RNAcentral is "lncRNA (ENSABRG00000002885.1)". Lineage: Eukaryota; Metazoa; Chordata; Aves; Anseriformes; Anatidae. The record is from RNAcentral.
CCGGAGCGCGGUUUCCAUUUUGGCUUUUCCAAAUAACAACACGAGUCUCCUCGGCUGGGGGGCGCGCAGCUCCGCGCCGUCAGGGGCAGCGUUACGGAGCGUACGGAGGGGGGUGAUUAGCGUUGGGAAAAACAUUGGCAGCUGCCUCGGCCAGCCACAAGGCCGCCGUGCCAGACAGGAAGCCGGCCUACGUGGAAGCGCCGUCUCGCAGGAGUUAUGAAUGGUCGGACGUGCCUGCCGUGAGCCUAAACCCUCGUGUUCUGCCCCAGAUAGUCCUCGUCGUGCUUCGCCCUCCCGCUCGCAACCAAGGUAAGCACAGGGGCAUACCUUUUGGUCCUUGUGGUGUAAAAUUGUUCAAAAGAGCAGCUGCAGGCCUCGUCCGGUGAGGGUAAGCUGUCGUGCUUGUUGCCAGACUCGCUUUAGAGGCACAGAAACUUGCCGUCAUCGGUGCCCGUCCAGCCCCGCUGGCCGUAAUCGGCCCGAUCCUCGCUCUCCGUAUUAAAAUCUCUCCUUUGAUCAUAGAAACCCAGGAUCAUCUUUUACCGAGAAACUGAGCAGAAUGGCUGUGGGAAGGUAUUUGUGAAAGCGUGGGGGGGGAAGUUAUGAAAACCAUGUGCGUGUGCGUCUUUGCUUUUUUGUUUAAGGUCCCUGAGGCCGCCUUGCUAGCUUCGCUGCUCUGGCACGCCCCGUAAAUUCAGUCUUGCCUCGAAGUGUUCGAUACGUCUCGUGUGCCGUGGCUGUUUUGUCGAACUGGCACGCGAGUUGGUGUGCUGUGUUGGAAGCUCUGCGUCAGCUGUGAGGGUGGGGGGCCCCUGCUCCCUGCUUACCUCGUGCUUUUGGGGGGCCGGGGGGGGUGAUGGGCACGGGCUCGCCACCGAAGGGCUGCAGUUAUAAGCUGCCCCCGAAGGGACUUUUGGCAGGAUUUCGUGUAAAUGUUUAGCAUCGGUACCACUUGGUGCCAUCUUGCGGGACAGCAGCGUGGCUUCCGUAAAAGGAAAUUCAAGGAAUGGAUUAUUUUUGAGAAAUGCGGUGCUCGCUGGGAUUUACUCGAGGGCUCUCUGGUGAGCGCGCAGCAGGAUGUGAGCUGCCUGGAGCUGGGGUCACUGGGAGGGAAGUGGCCGCGAGCCUCGCCCCUCCCCGCCGGCAGCGUGAAACCCAACUUUUCUCUCUUUCAAAAAGGAGGAAGCUCUGCCUCGGAGCCUGCAAGCGCUCGCAGGAGUUGCAGAGACGAGCAGAGCGAUUGCAGGAGGCUAAGAACGAAGACAGUGUUCUAGCGCUGCCAGAGCAAUGACUCCUGCCUGUGGAAGAAGGUGUUGUACAUGUGAUAUCAUCUUCAAGCAAUGUCAGUGAUGCUUUUGGUCUGUCUUUUCUUUCUUUCUUUUUUUUCUAGUGCCAAAUGCUUCAUUUAGUUCAGUUGCACUCAAAAACCGUAAUUAAAUAUGCUGAAUCUGCUUGAAGUCUUAGCUACUAGUUUUGCUAAUGCCUUCAGACAGAUGCUGAAUCGUCUGCAAGAUGAUUGCUGCUGUGUCGAGCUCCGCAGCUCUCAAGAAUGAUGUCUGUUAGGAAGAGGAAGUUGUUUGUAGGGCAGACGCUGCCUUGAUACCAAAUAAGCCGUAUUAAAAUUCUCUUCACCCUGUGCAAAUGAUCAUUUCUUCUGGAAAAUGGUCUAAAAUGGUCUAUGUUUGCUUCUUGACAUGUGCAGGGUUUUUUU